GAUCCUGGCUCAGGAUGAACGCUGGCGGCGUGCUUAACACAUGCAAGUCGAGCGAAGCACUUAAGUUUGAUUCUUCGGAUGAAGACUUUUGUGACUGAGCGGCGGACGGGUGAGUAACGCGUGGGUAACCUGCCUCAUAUAGGGGGGAUAACAGUUAGAAAUGACUGCUAAUACCGCAUAAGACCACGGUACCGCAUGGUACAGUGGUAAAAACUCCGGUGGUAUGAGAUGGACCCGCGU
Molecule: ribosomal RNA, 240 nt
Filed under: uncultured bacterium
Lineage: Bacteria
Description: partial 16S ribosomal RNA
Rfam family: Bacterial small subunit ribosomal RNA
Source: RNAcentral